RNAcentral lists this small RNA (132 nucleotides) under Salmonella enterica subsp. enterica serovar Enteritidis. Its description in RNAcentral is "RtT sRNA". It matches the Rfam family "RtT RNA". Rfam says of the family: This family represents a bacterial cis-regulatory element known as RtT RNA. The record is from RNAcentral. Lineage: Bacteria; Pseudomonadati; Pseudomonadota; Gammaproteobacteria; Enterobacterales; Enterobacteriaceae.
AUAUCUCUCYGUACGGGAAGGAUGAGAAGCUUCGAYUAAGGUUCGAUUCGAGCGUCAGCGAGAAAGCGUUGCCGCAGGCAACGACCCGAAGGGCGAAGCGCGCAGCGCUGAGUCAUCCUUCCCCCACCACCA